RNAcentral lists this ribosomal RNA (493 nucleotides) under uncultured bacterium. RNAcentral describes it as "bacterial SSU rRNA". It matches the Rfam family "Bacterial small subunit ribosomal RNA", at positions 8 to 502 of the family's 1533-position model. The record is from RNAcentral.
AGAGUUUGAUCCUGGCUCAGGAUGAACGCUAGCGACAGGCCUAACACAUGCAAGUCGAGGGGUAGAAAAAGCUUGCUUUUUUGAGACCGGCGCACGGGUGAGUAACGCGUAUGCAACCUACCUUAUACUGGGGGAUAGCCCAAAGAAAUUUGGAUUAAUACCGCAUAACAUAUUUGAAUCGCAUGGUUUAAAUAUUAAAACUCCGGUGGUAUAAGAUGGGCAUGCGUAGCAUUAGUUUGUUGGUGAGGUAACGGCUCACCAAGACUAUGAUGCUUAGGGGGUCUGAGAGGAUAGUCCCCCACACUGGUACUGAGACACGGACCAGACUCCUACGGGAGGCAGCAGUGAGGAAUAUUGGUCAAUGGGCGAAAGCCUGAACCAGCCAUGUCGCGUGCAGGAUGACGGCCCUAUGGGUUGUAAACUGCUUUUUUACAGGAAUAAUUGCAGAUACGUGUAUCUGUUUGAAUGUACUGUAUGAAUAAGAUCGCUAACU